UACGGGGGGGGCAAGCGUUGUUCGGAAUUACUGGGCGUAAAGGGCUCGUAGGUGGCCAACUAAGUCAGACGUGAAAUCCCUCGGCUCAACCGGGGAACUGCGUCUGAUACUGGAUGGCUUGAAUUCGGGAGAGGGAUGCGGAAUUCCAGGUGUAGCGGUGAAAUGCGUAGAUAUCUGGAGGAACACCGGUGGCGAAGGCGGCAUCCUGGACCGAGAUUGACGCUGAUGCGCGAAAGCCAGGGGAGCAAACGGG
RNAcentral lists this ribosomal RNA (253 nucleotides) under uncultured bacterium. RNAcentral describes it as "partial 16S ribosomal RNA". It matches the Rfam family "Bacterial small subunit ribosomal RNA", at positions 524 to 776 of the family's 1533-position model. The record is from RNAcentral.